GUUGGAUCCAUCUGCAAGUGGACUCGUUCUAGUUGAUUUCGUGUAUUGGAACUGCAAAUAAGUUUUUCUGGAACCUUAGCGGUAUUUGGAAAGGGAAUUAAUUUGAACUUUUCUGCCUGGUCUAGAAACUUAGUCGUAUUUUCAACGCAAUCUGUCAUACAACCGAUCAACUGGGAAUAAAACCUUUUUAACCCGAA
Molecule: long non-coding RNA, 197 nt
Filed under: Leptinotarsa decemlineata (Colorado potato beetle)
Lineage: Eukaryota; Metazoa; Arthropoda; Insecta; Coleoptera; Chrysomelidae
Description: uncharacterized LOC111516210
Source: RNAcentral